This 1392-nucleotide long non-coding RNA is filed under the name Homo sapiens (human). RNAcentral's name for it is "HSALNT0374707". Lineage: Eukaryota; Metazoa; Chordata; Mammalia; Primates; Hominidae. The record is from RNAcentral.
CUUGGUGCCAGGUUGAGCAGUCAGCAGCACCGCCAACACAGUGGAGGAAGAUCCACUGUACCUGGAGAAUGACAAAAGGCAGACGUCCUGCCCACGGACUACUGGUUAGUGCAAUGAUCCUUGGAUAGCAAGAUUAGAAAAUGUGAGGAAAAGGCAGAUUCAGUAAGCUUGCAUUUUUAAAAUCCCUCUGCUUUUAAAUCCUCAUGUUUUUUAAUAUACCUCACUAACAUGAAGCCUUGUGUUAGACAAAGACCCCAUCACCCGAAACACCACCAGACCCAGAAAACCCCGGAGAAAAAGGCCAGAAAUUGCUUCACAAAUGUCAAUUUUAUUGACACUAGUGCACAACUAAAUACAAUAAUUGCAAAGGAAGUGGAACGUGUCAAACAGAAAUGGUGACAAUGAGUUAGAACUGCAGUUGUUUCAAGGUACUACACUAUUAUUUAAAAAAAAAAAAAUCACAAAAAGAAAAAUGUUAUCACUACAAGUAGGAAUUAGAAGAGAGAAAUUCUGGCAGUCUGUCUAGAGGUUAAAACAUUUCAUGCAUUUGUGAGUUGCUGUUGGAGAGUUGUUUUUUAUUUGUCCACCGUAAUCUGGCAACAUCCGGGGCUUACCUUCAGCUCUCGCACUGUGCGUGAGAUCGGGUGAGGCAGUUAUAAGUGAGAGCAUGCUGGACACCUUGACUUUGCAGUGACGUGGAACAGAAAAAGCAUUCACCUCAUCAUUGAAAGAGUUGGAGCCGAGAAUAAAAGAAGAAACCAGACAGCAUCUGUGAGAACCUACAUGUUGGGUGCCCACCAAAAUGAAAAACAGCUCCUUGGCCAUCAGAAGCCAACUGGGACCAAGUCAGAAAGCCACUCCAAGACAAAUCAGAGUAACCUGAUCUGGAGACUACAUGAAGAUGCAAAUGCACUGCCUCCACUCCAAGUAACACUCCAACACCGGGCGCCGAGAAGAUGCUGAAGGCUUGGUUUCGAGGCUACCAUGCUGUGAUGUCUGUGUCGAGUGGCCAAUCUACACCGAAAUGAUCCUGAAUAAAUCAGAGUCUAUUCAAUGUUUAAAGCUUUCAGGAAAAGAAGAUUUUCUAAUUCUUCCCUAGCAUCUACCAAGACGUUUAAUUGCUUUCACUAGGGGUUAAAUAAAAAAGUUCCUCCUGCUUGAGGUUUCAUCUUUUUUUUUUUUUUUGGAGUGGUGUGCAGUUUAUUUUAUGAAGUGAGAACUUUUUUCAAAACAAGACGCUAUCUCCCCUCCUCCCAAACACACAUAUGGCACAAUAAAUCAGCAUUUACCACUUCUGUUCAUGGGGAAAUGCUUGGAAAUCUCUCUCUAGGUUACUCUAGGAAAUGACAAAGUUGCCCUUUUCAAGGAUAUACCCAAACAGCUAGCACCAGG